This 20-nucleotide microRNA is filed under the name Marchantia polymorpha subsp. ruderalis. Lineage: Eukaryota; Viridiplantae; Streptophyta; Marchantiopsida; Marchantiales; Marchantiaceae. The record is from RNAcentral.
GUUUUUCAAGCUUGUGACAC